AAUACGUAGGUGGCAAGCGUUAUCCGGAAUUACUGGGCGUAAAGCGCACGCAGGCGGUCUUUUAAGUUUGACGUGAAAGCUCCCGGCUUAACUGGGAGAGGUCGUUGAAGACUGGAAGACUUGAGGCAAUGAGAGGGGUGUAGAAUUCCCGGUGUAGUGGUGGAAUGCGUAGAUAUCGGGGGGAAUACCAGUGGCGAAAGCGGCACCCUAGCGUUGGCCUGACGCUCAUGUGCGAAAGCGUGGGGAGCGAACGGGA
This 256-nucleotide ribosomal RNA is filed under the name uncultured prokaryote. RNAcentral describes it as "partial 16S ribosomal RNA". It matches the Rfam family "Bacterial small subunit ribosomal RNA", at positions 522 to 777 of the family's 1533-position model. The record is from RNAcentral.